This is a long non-coding RNA of Drosophila arizonae, 248 nucleotides long. RefSeq lists it as uncharacterized. The record is from RefSeq and is a predicted model, not a curated record. NCBI's taxonomy places the organism in Eukaryota, Metazoa, Arthropoda, Insecta, Diptera, Drosophilidae.
CGCUUUCAAAAAGGGUAUAAAAUGGAAGGCCCAAGUCCAAUUGAUAUCUUCGUUUUAAAGGAAGCUACAAUCAACAUGAAACUGAUUCUGCUCACUGCUGUACUAGCUGUCUUGGCAUCGGGCUGCUAUGCUGUUGCUGCUGGCCCUGAUAAUAAGUCUUAUCCACCAGAACCAGAACAAUAAAAGCUGGAACUGGUUUUUGAAAUAAAAAUGUAUAUUCAAAUAUACAAAUCAUAAUGCAGAAAUAA